UGGGGAAUAUUGCACAAUGGAGGGAACUCUGAUGCAGCGACGCCGCGUGAACGAAGAAGGCUUUCGAGUCGUAAAGUUCUUUUAUAUGGGAAGAUAAUGACGGUACCAUAAGAAAAAGCCCCGGCUAACUACGUGCCAGCAGCCGCGGUAAUACGUAGGGGGCUAGCGUUGUCCGGAAUCACUGGGCGUAAAGCGCGCGCAGGCGGCUUCCUAAGUCCAUCUUAAAAGUGCGGGGCUUAACCCCGUGAUGGGAUGGAAACUGGGAAGCUGGAGUAUCGGAGAGGAAAGUGGAAUUCCUAGUGUAGCGGUGAAAUGCGUAGAGAUUAGGAAGAACACCGGUGGCGAAGGCGACUUUCUGGACGAAAACUGACGCUGAGGCGCGAAAGCGUGGGGAGCAAACAGG
Molecule: ribosomal RNA, 403 nt
Filed under: Fusobacteriota bacterium
Lineage: Bacteria; Fusobacteriati; Fusobacteriota
Description: Fusobacteria bacterium partial 16S ribosomal RNA
Rfam family: Bacterial small subunit ribosomal RNA
Source: RNAcentral